This 882-nucleotide ribosomal RNA is filed under the name Cupriavidus sp. Its description in RNAcentral is "bacterial SSU rRNA". It matches the Rfam family "Bacterial small subunit ribosomal RNA", at positions 56 to 934 of the family's 1533-position model. The record is from RNAcentral. Lineage: Bacteria; Pseudomonadati; Pseudomonadota; Betaproteobacteria; Burkholderiales; Burkholderiaceae.
UGCAAGUCGAACGGCAGCACGGGAGCAAUCCUGGUGGCGAGUGGCGAACGGGUGAGUAAUACAUCGGAACGUGCCCUGUAGUGGGGGAUAACUAGUCGAAAGAUUAGCUAAUACCGCAUACGACCUGAGGGUGAAAGCGGGGGACCGCAAGGCCUCGCGCUACAGGAGCGGCCGAUGUCUGAUUAGCUAGUUGGUGGGGUAAAAGCCUACCAAGGCGACGAUCAGUAGCUGGUCUGAGAGGACGAUCAGCCACACUGGGACUGAGACACGGCCCAGACUCCUACGGGAGGCAGCAGUGGGGAAUUUUGGACAAUGGGGGCAACCCUGAUCCAGCAAUGCCGCGUGUGUGAAGAAGGCCUUCGGGUUGUAAAGCACUUUUGUCCGGAAAGAAAUGGCCUGGGUUAAUACCUCGGGUCGAUGACGGUACCGGAAGAAUAAGCACCGGCUAACUACGUGCCAGCAGCCGCGGUAAUACGUAGGGUGCGAGCGUUAAUCGGAAUUACUGGGCGUAAAGCGUGCGCAGGCGGUUUUGUAAGACAGGCGUGAAAUCCCCGAGCUCAACUUGGGAAUGGCGCUUGUGACUGCAAGGCUAGAGUAUGUCAGAGGGGGGUAGAAUUCCACGUGUAGCAGUGAAAUGCGUAGAGAUGUGGAGGAAUACCGAUGGCGAAGGCAGCCCCCUGGGACGUCACUGACGCUCAUGCACGAAAGCGUGGGGAGCAAACAGGAUUAGAUACCCUGGUAGUCCACGCCCUAAACGAUGUCAACUAGUUGUUGGGGAUUCAUUUCUUCAGUAACGUAGCUAACGCGUGAAGUUGACCGCCUGGGGAGUACGGUCGCAAGAUUAAAACUCAAAGGAAUUGACGGGGACCCGCACAAGCGGUG